RNAcentral lists this ribosomal RNA (496 nucleotides) under uncultured bacterium. RNAcentral describes it as "partial 16S ribosomal RNA". It matches the Rfam family "Bacterial small subunit ribosomal RNA", at positions 29 to 507 of the family's 1533-position model. The record is from RNAcentral.
AUGAACGCUGGCGGCGUGCCUAAUACAUGCAAGUCGAGCGAACAGACGAGGAGCUUGCUCCUCUGACGUUAGCGGCGGACGGGUGAGUAACACGUGGAUAACCUACCUAUAAGACUGGGAUAACUUCGGGAAACCGGAGCUAAUACCGGAUAAUAUAUUGAACCGCAUGGUUCAAUAGUGAAAGACGGUUUUGCUGUCACUUAUAGAUGGAUCCGCGCCGCAUUAGCUAGUUGGUAAGGUAACGGCUUACCAAGGCAACGAUGCGUAGCCGACCUGAGAGGGUGAUCGGCCACACUGAAACUGAGACACGGUCCAGACUCCUACGGGAGGCAGCAGUAGGGAAUCUUCCGCAAUGGGCGAAAGCUUGACGGAGCAACGCCGCGUGAGUGAUGAAGGUCUUCGGAUCGUAAAACUCUGUUAUUAGGGAAGAACAAAUGUGUAAGUAACUAUGCACGUCUUGACGGUACCUAAUCAGAAAGCCACGGCUAACUACGUG